Molecule: ribosomal RNA, 255 nt
Filed under: uncultured bacterium
Lineage: Bacteria
Description: partial 16S ribosomal RNA
Rfam family: Bacterial small subunit ribosomal RNA
Source: RNAcentral
UACAGAGGUCUCAAGCGUUGUUCGGAUUCAUUGGGCGUAAAGGGCGCGUAGGCUGCGGGGCAAGUCGGGUGUGAAAUCUCAGAGCUCAACUCUGAAACUGCACUCGAUACUGCUUUGCUUGAGGACUGGAGAGGAGAUUGGAAUUCACGGUGUAGCAGUGAAAAUGCGUAGAUAUCGUGAGGAAGACCAGUGGCGAAGGCGGAUCUCUGGACAGUUCCUGACGCUGGAGGCGCGAAGGCCAGGGGAGCAAACGGG